This 253-nucleotide ribosomal RNA is filed under the name uncultured bacterium. RNAcentral's name for it is "partial 16S ribosomal RNA". It matches the Rfam family "Bacterial small subunit ribosomal RNA", at positions 524 to 776 of the family's 1533-position model. The record is from RNAcentral.
UACGGAGGGUGCAAGCGUUAUCCGGAAUUACUGGGUUUAAAGGGUGCGUAGGCGGCUUGAUAAGUCAGGGGUGAAAUCGUAUCGCUUAACGAUAGAAUUGCCUUUGAUACUGUAAAGCUUGAAAGGGGUUGAGGUCAGCAGAAUGUGGCAUGUAGCGGUGAAAUGCAUAGAUAUGCCAUAGAACACCGAUUGCGAAGGCAGCUGGCGGGGCCUACUUUGACGCUGAGGCACGAAAGCGUGGGGAGCGAACAGG